RNAcentral lists this ribosomal RNA (253 nucleotides) under uncultured bacterium. RNAcentral's name for it is "partial 16S ribosomal RNA". It matches the Rfam family "Bacterial small subunit ribosomal RNA", at positions 524 to 776 of the family's 1533-position model. The record is from RNAcentral.
UACGUAGGGUGCGAGCGUUAAUCGGAAUUACUGGGCGUAAAGCGUGCGCAGGCGGUUCGUGAUGUCUGGUGUGAAAUCCCCGGGCUCAACCUGGGAACUGCAUUUGUGACUGCAUAGCUGGAGUGCGGCAGAGGGGGAUGGAAUUCCGCGUGUAGCAGUGAAAUGCGUAGAUAUGCGGAGGAACACCGAUGGCGAAGGCAAUCCCCUGGGCCUGCACUGACGCUCAUGCACGAAAGCGUGGGGAGCAAACAGG